GACGCCGCGUGAGUGAUGAAGGCCUUAGGGUCGUAAAGCUCUUUCGCCUGUGAUGAUAAUGACAGUAGCAGGUAAAGAAACCCCGGCUAACUCCGUGCCAGCAGCCGCGGUAAUACGGAGGGGGUUAGCGUUGUUCGGAAUUACUGGGCGUAAAGCGCACGUAGGCGGAUUAGUCAGUCAGAGGUGAAAUCCCAGGGCUCAACCCUGGAACUGCCUUUGAUACUGCUAGUCUUGAGUUCGAGAGAGGUAAGUGGAAUUCCGAGUGUAGAGGUGAAAUUCGUAGAUAUUCGGAGGAACACCAGUGGCGAAGGCGGCUUACUGGCUCGAUACUGACGCUGAGGUGCGAAAGUGUGGGGAGCAAACAGGAUUAGAUACCCUGGUAGUCCACACCGUAAACGAUGAAUGCCAGUCGUCGGGUAGCAUGCUAUUCGGUGACACACCUAACGGAUUAAGCAUUCCGCCUGGGGAGUACGGUCGCAAGAUUAAAACUC
Molecule: ribosomal RNA, 491 nt
Filed under: uncultured bacterium
Lineage: Bacteria
Description: bacterial SSU rRNA
Rfam family: Bacterial small subunit ribosomal RNA
Source: RNAcentral